UACAGAGGUCUCAAGCGUUGUUCGGAUUCAUUGGGCGUAAAGGGUGCGUAGGCGGCGCGGUAAGUCGGGUGUGAAAUUUCGAGGCUUAACUUCGAAACUGCAUUCGAUACUGCCGUGCUUGAGGACUGGAGAGGAGACUGGAAUUUACGGUGUAGCGGUGAAAUGCGCAGAUAUCAGGAAGAACACCCGUGGCGAAGGCGGCUCUCUGGGACGGUACUGACGCUGAGACGCGAAAGCGUGGGGAGCGAACAGG
This 253-nucleotide ribosomal RNA is filed under the name uncultured bacterium. Its description in RNAcentral is "partial 16S ribosomal RNA". It matches the Rfam family "Bacterial small subunit ribosomal RNA", at positions 524 to 776 of the family's 1533-position model. The record is from RNAcentral.